RNAcentral lists this ribosomal RNA (300 nucleotides) under Salmonella enterica. RNAcentral's name for it is "bacterial SSU rRNA". It matches the Rfam family "Bacterial small subunit ribosomal RNA", at positions 1126 to 1425 of the family's 1533-position model. The record is from RNAcentral. Lineage: Bacteria; Pseudomonadati; Pseudomonadota; Gammaproteobacteria; Enterobacterales; Enterobacteriaceae.
UCCGGCCGGGAACUCAAAGGAGACUGCCAGUGAUAAACUGGAGGAAGGUGGGGAUGACGUCAAGUCAUCAUGGCCCUUACGACCAGGGCUACACACGUGCUACAAUGGCGCAUACAAAGAGAAGCGACCUCGCGAGAGCAAGCGGACCUCAUAAAGUGCGUCGUAGUCCGGAUUGGAGUCUGCAACUCGACUCCAUGAAGUCGGAAUCGCUAGUAAUCGUGGAUCAGAAUGCCACGGUGAAUACGUUCCCGGGCCUUGUACACACCGCCCGUCACACCAUGGGAGUGGGUUGCAAAAGAA